GAUGAACGCUGGCGGCGUGCCUAACACAUGCAAGUCGAGCGAUUUCUUCGGAGAGAGCGGCGGACGGGUGAGUAACGCGUGGGUAAACUGCCCUGUACACCCGGCUAACAUACCGAAAGGUAUACUAAUACGGGAUAACAUAUGAAAGUCGCAUGGCUUUUAUAGCAAAGCUACGGCGGUACAGGAUGGACCCGCGUCGGAUUAGAUAGGUGGUAAGGUAAAGGCUUACCAAGGCAACGAUCAGUAGCCGACCUGAGAGGGUGAUCGGCCACACUGGAACUGAGACACGGUCCAGACUCCUACGGGAGGCAGCAGUGGGGAAUAUUGCACAAUGGGCGAAAGCCUGAUGCAGCAACGCCGCGUGAGCGAUGAAGGCCUUCGGGUCGUAAAGCUCUGUCCUCAAGGAAGAUAAUGACGGUACUUGAGGAGGAAGCCCCGGCUAACUACGUGCCAGCAGCCGCGGUAA
RNAcentral lists this ribosomal RNA (466 nucleotides) under uncultured bacterium. Its description in RNAcentral is "partial 16S ribosomal RNA". It matches the Rfam family "Bacterial small subunit ribosomal RNA", at positions 28 to 523 of the family's 1533-position model. The record is from RNAcentral.